This 51-nucleotide ribosomal RNA is filed under the name Cannabis sativa. RNAcentral describes it as "partial 18S ribosomal RNA". The record is from RNAcentral. Lineage: Eukaryota; Viridiplantae; Streptophyta; Magnoliopsida; Rosales; Cannabaceae.
AAAAAAUGAACAAGGUUUCCGUAGGUGAACCUGCGGAAGGAUCAUUGUCGA